Molecule: ribosomal RNA, 70 nt
Filed under: Phellinus mori
Lineage: Eukaryota; Fungi; Basidiomycota; Agaricomycetes; Hymenochaetales; Hymenochaetaceae
Description: partial 28S ribosomal RNA
Rfam family: Eukaryotic large subunit ribosomal RNA (bases 14-70)
Source: RNAcentral
UUCAUGACUUACUUGACCUCAAAUCAGGUAGGAUUACCCGCUGAACUUAAGCAUAUCAAUAAGCGGAGGA